ACGGAGGAUCCGGGCGUUAUCCGGAAUUACUGGGUUUAAAGGGUGCGUAGGCGGGGCUUUAAGCCGGCGGUGAAAUGCCGGGGCUCAACCGCUGGAAUGCCUUUGGGACUGGGGGACUUGGAUACGGGCGGGGAGGGUGGAAUUCGCGGUGUAGCGGUGAAAUGCAUAGAUAUCACGAGGAACGCCGGUGGCGAAGGCGGCUCGCCGGGCCGGUAUUGACGCUGAGGCACGAAAGCGUGGGGAUCGAACAG
This 251-nucleotide ribosomal RNA is filed under the name uncultured prokaryote. RNAcentral's name for it is "partial 16S rRNA". It matches the Rfam family "Bacterial small subunit ribosomal RNA", at positions 525 to 775 of the family's 1533-position model. The record is from RNAcentral.